RNAcentral lists this ribosomal RNA (386 nucleotides) under uncultured Planctomycetaceae bacterium. Its description in RNAcentral is "bacterial SSU rRNA". It matches the Rfam family "Bacterial small subunit ribosomal RNA", at positions 934 to 1308 of the family's 1533-position model. The record is from RNAcentral. Lineage: Bacteria; Pseudomonadati; Planctomycetota; Planctomycetia; Planctomycetales; Planctomycetaceae.
GGAGGAUGUGGCUUAAUUCGAGGAUACGCGAAGAACCUUAUCCUGGUCUUGGCAUGUACGGAUAGCAAUGAAAUGAAAGGGAUAGUCCCUGCCUUCGGGUGAAACGUACACAGGUGCUGCAUGGCCGUCGUCAGCUCGUGUCGUGAGAUGUCGGGUUAAGUCCCUUAACGAGCGAAACCCUUGUUCCUAGUUGCCAGCACGUAAUGGUGGGGACUCUAGGGAGACUGCCGGUGUUAAACCGGAGGAAGGUGGGGAUGACGUCAGGUCCUCAUGGCCUUUAUGACCAGGGCUGCACACGUCCUCUUAUACGGAUGUAUAGAGGGAAGCGAACUCGCGAGAGCAAGCAAAUCCCAAAAAGCACCGCCCAGUUCGGAUUGCCCCCCUGU